This 274-nucleotide ribosomal RNA is filed under the name uncultured bacterium. RNAcentral's name for it is "partial 16S ribosomal RNA". It matches the Rfam family "Bacterial small subunit ribosomal RNA", at positions 523 to 796 of the family's 1533-position model. The record is from RNAcentral.
AUACGGAGGGUGCAAGCGUUACUCGGAAUCACUGGGCGUAAAGCGCGCGCAGGCGGCUUGGUAAGUUGGAUGUGAAAGCCUACGGCUCAACCGUAGAACUGCAUCCAAAACUGUCAAGCUAGAGUGUGGGAGAGGAAGAUGGAAUUAGUUGUGUAGGGGUAAAAUCCGUAGAGAUAACUAGGAAUACCAAAAGCGAAGGCGAUCUUCUGGAACAGUACUGACGCUGAGGCGCGAAAGCGUGGGGAGCAAACAGGAUUAGAUACCCUAGUAGUCC